AGAGUUUGAUCAUGGCUCAGGACGAACGCUGGCGGCGGGCCUAACACAUGCAAGUCGUGGGAGAAUUCAACUCUUCGGAGUUGGAGGAGACCGGCGGACGGGUGAGUAACGCGUAGGCAACCUGCCCUCAGGAGAAGGAUAACCCGUCGAAAGAUGGGCUAAUACUUCAUGAUGCAGCGGGGUCACAUGACCACAGUUGUUAAAGGCCUCGGGUGCCUGAGGAUGGGCCUGCGUGACAUUAGCUAGUUGGUGAGGUAAAGGCUUACCAAGGCGAUGAUGUCUAGGGGGUCUGAGAGGAUGAUCCCCCACACGGGGACUGAGACACGGCCCCGACUCCUACGGGAGGCAGCAGUGAGGAAUCUUGCGCAAUGGGGGCAACCCUGACGCAGCCACGCCGCGUGCUGGAAGAAGGUCCUAUGGAUCGUAAACAGCUUCUCUACGGGAAGAAGGGGUCCCGAUUUGUCGGGACCUGACGGUACUGUAGGAAUAAGCACCGGCUAACUCCGUGCCAGCAGCCGCGGUAAUACGGAGGGUGCAAGCGUUGUCCGGAAUCGUUGGGUGUAAAGGGUGCGUAGGCGGAGCUUUAAGUCUGCGGUGAAAUCUUGCCGCUUAACGGUAAAAGUGCCGUGGAAACUAGAGCUCUUGAGUGUAGCAGAGGCCGGUGGAAUUCGUGGUGUAGCGGUGAAAUGCAUAGAUAUCACGAAGAACACCAGUGGCGAAAGCGGCCGGCUGGGCUACGACUGACGCUGAGGCACGAGAGCGUGGGG
Molecule: ribosomal RNA, 767 nt
Filed under: uncultured bacterium
Lineage: Bacteria
Description: bacterial SSU rRNA
Rfam family: Bacterial small subunit ribosomal RNA
Source: RNAcentral